Molecule: ribosomal RNA, 253 nt
Filed under: uncultured bacterium
Lineage: Bacteria
Description: partial 16S ribosomal RNA
Rfam family: Bacterial small subunit ribosomal RNA
Source: RNAcentral
UACAGAGGGGGCCAGCGUUGCUCGGAAUCACUGGGCGUAAAGCGCACGUAGGCGGACUCUUAAGUCGGUGGUGAAAUCCUGGAGCUCAACUCCAGAACUGCCUUCGAUACUGAGAGUCUCGAGUCCGAGAGAGGUGAGUGGAACUGCGAGUGUAGAGGUGAAAUUCGUAGAUAUUCGCAAGAACACCAGUGGCGAAGGCGGCUCACUGGCUCGGUACUGACGCUGAGGUGCGAAAGCGUGGGGAGCAAACAGG